Molecule: ribosomal RNA, 436 nt
Filed under: uncultured bacterium
Lineage: Bacteria
Description: partial 16S ribosomal RNA
Rfam family: Bacterial small subunit ribosomal RNA
Source: RNAcentral
AGCGAACGCUGGCGGCAGGCUUAACACAUGCAAGUCGAGCGGGCAUCCUUGUGGUGUCAGCGGCAGACGGGUGAGUAACGCGUGGGAACGUGCCCUUCGGUUCGGAAUAACUCAGGGAAACUUGAGCUAAUACCGGAUACGUGCGAGAGCAGAAAGGUUUAUCUGCCGAAGGAUCGGCCCGCGUCUGAUUAGCUAGUUGGUGAGGUUAUGGCUCACCAAGGCGACGAUCAGUAGCUGGUCUGAGAGGAUGAUCAGCCACACUGGGACUGAGACACGGCCCAGACUCCUACGGGAGGCAGCAGUGGGGAAUAUUGGACAAUGGGGGCAACCCUGAUCCAGCCAUGCCGCGUGAGUGAUGACGGCCUUAGGGUUGUAAAGCUCUUUUCUUCGGGACGAUAAUGACGGUACCGGAGGAAUAAGCCCCGGCUAACUUCGG